UGAAAGGAUUUUCAUAUUGUUGUAUCGAACGUGUGAUGCGAACAAAGCAAGUACUACAUAUGAGAAAUUAAAUCUGUAGGCUCUCUAUGGUUGAAACACUCUUGAGCUUAAGUAGAAAUUAUUGAUGUUAAAAGCAUGAUAUCUUUAAUUCAAUUAACCAAACCUUUCAAGGUUGUUCUCUGCUCAUUCUACUUCAAGACUAGCAUAUAGGAGGAACCCAGAUCUCAUUUUACAUGAAUACUACUUCAGUUCGUUCACGGCUAGAAGAACCUCGCAAGUAUUAACAUACCACAGGCAAGAAAACGACGGCAAGUCGCAAUAACCUCCAAAGCCGGCAAGGAUGGAAUUGUAAAAUACAUACUAAUAACACCACAAGGCAACGAUUAGAACAGAUUGUACCCGGAUAAUAAAGCAGCAACUAUGAACAGUAGGAUUUUUCUUUCAUUCUCAUAUAGGUGAUUGAGACAUCAAAAUUACAUUAAUCAAGAGCAAGUUAAGAAGAACGGACCUGAGACAAACUUUCCAAAUGCAAUCUGAAAGUGUUUAACUAUAGAAAACUCGGACAGUGACGACAACCUCGACGGAAAACUUCUACCUCGACCAAUCACCACCGAACCAACGAAGCAGCAGUAACACUCAGCUAAAACUCCAUGACCGAACUUGAGUCAAUUUCUAUUAAAAUCAGAAGGAACGAAACUCUAAAAUUCACAUGAACUCCCUAACAAAUCUGAAAAUCAAAAUGACUGAAGGAACUGUAUCUCUGUGUGCUUUCGCGUGUAGGUGUGUGUGUCCGAAUCGUUCUCGAAAAAUCAAAGCGAAAUGAAAGAUAUCACCGUUGAAGGUUCUUUUCUAAUGAAUCUUGAGGUUUGGCUGCUGAAGCUUAGAGAUUAGGGCUGGAAGAUAUGGGGGCCUCGCCGGAGUUAAUGAAAUCCAUCAGAAAACGAAAACUCCGGUCAGAAUCUGAGAGCAACUCUGAUGAGGCAGUAGCCGAAUCCGAUGAAACAACAGUGGUUGCCGGAUCUCUGGCCAAAUCUGUCACCCUCCGUCGCUAGUAGUAAUAGAGAAAGAGGAGGACGGCGGAAAAUGAAUAACAGUGGUUGAGGCUGAUGAUUUUGCCGGUGAUGUCUAUGGGUGUGUGUCUGGUUUUAGAAGGAAUAAGAUAUAACGUUGGGGAGGGGGGGUACUAUGGAAACGACGCUCAGCUAUUUGCAGAGUCUCUGCAUUCUUCCUUUUCAGACCCCUUUUUUUUAGUCUUAGGCGUU
Molecule: long non-coding RNA, 1262 nt
Filed under: Nicotiana tabacum (common tobacco)
Lineage: Eukaryota; Viridiplantae; Streptophyta; Magnoliopsida; Solanales; Solanaceae
Description: long non-coding RNA (NTAB_LNC007091)
Source: RNAcentral